AGCACAUGCAAAUGAGGAGUCAUUUUCUAAGAAAUCUUUGAUUCAUGCAGUUUCAUAAGAAAAUUUAUUUCUAGGAGAAGAAAUUCGAAACAAUUGCAAUUUGAUAACAGCCAUAACGAACAAGUACGAUAUUAUGCUAAAGAAUGGUCAAAUUGGGGGAAAAAAUAUAACUAAAAAAAAUGGAAUAAAAUCUGUUUUAAAUUGAAGGAAAUUGUAAAAAUGCUACAAAUAAAAAUACUUAAAAAUACUUAAAAUACGUUUAAUUCUAACUAACUAUUUU
Centruroides sculpturatus (bark scorpion) is the source of this 280-nucleotide long non-coding RNA. RefSeq lists it as uncharacterized. The transcript has 3 exons. NCBI's taxonomy places the organism in Eukaryota, Metazoa, Arthropoda, Arachnida, Scorpiones, Buthidae. The record is from RefSeq and is a predicted model, not a curated record.